Molecule: ribosomal RNA, 857 nt
Filed under: uncultured Neocallimastigales
Lineage: Eukaryota; Fungi; Neocallimastigomycota; Neocallimastigomycetes; Neocallimastigales
Description: partial large subunit ribosomal RNA
Rfam family: Eukaryotic large subunit ribosomal RNA
Source: RNAcentral
GUAGUCUCGCACAGAUGCAUAUCAAUAAGCGGAGGAAAAGAAACUAACGAGGAUUCCCCUAGUAACGGCGAGUGAAGCGGGAAGAGCUCAAAUUUGAAAUCUUAAAGGGUUUCCCUUUACGAAUAGUAGUUUAAAGAAGUGUUUUCUGUUGAGGUUUUGGUAAAAGUUCUUUGGAAUAGGACAUCAUAGAGGGUGAGAAUCCCGUAUUUGACCUUUACUUUCAACUUUGUGAUACACUUUCAAAGAGUCGGAUUGUUUGGGAAUGCAGUCCAAAAUGGGUGGUAAAUUUCAUCUAAAGCUAAAUAUUGGCGAGAGACCGAUAGCGAACAAGUACCGUGAGGGAAAGAUGAAAAGAACUUUGAAAAGAGAGUUAAACAGUACGUGAAAUUGUCAAAAGGGAAGCGUUUGACACCAGUGCUGUUUUUCUGAAAAUCAAUUAAAGAACUGUUUAUGCUAAGUUGUUUAGACUUUAUCAGCUAACUGUUUAGUUUUGAGCUUUUCUUUAAUGCACUUUUCAGUUAACAAGUCAACAUCAAUUUCUUUUGCUGUAAAAAAGCUUGAGGAAGGUGGCUUGAGAUUCGUCUUAAGUGUUUAUAGCCUCUUGCCUAUGCAGUCGGAGAGAUUGAGGUCUGCAGCGUAGAUCCUUCGGGGCUAAAUGCAUUUGUGCUAAGUUAUAGCAUUUCAUAGACAACUUGUUGACUAUGAUUUGUCUUGUAGCUUACUCGCUUAUGUUAUUUUACCUACGCUUAGGAUGUUGACAGCAGUAUAGACUGUAGUCUCGCACAGAUGCAUAUCAAUAAGCGGAGGAAAAGAGGGCUAUUACCUACGCUUAGGAUGUUGACAGCAGUAUAGACUGU